GCUGCGUGGCGCGUGCGCAGGCGCGUGCGCGCCGCGGUGCCGUAGCGGCGGCUGCUGGCGAGGGUCGCGCGCCGCGUCUCCUUUUCGCUCCCUGUGGCGUGACGCCCCCUCAGCCUCGUUCGGGAUCCGUUUCCCUUGCCGGAGCCCGGCGGCGGCGAGCACUCCAGUACGAAAGCGUUCUUUCUUCUGCUGGCUCCGUUAGCCCUGCAGAUGGUGAGCGACUCCCAGCCUGCCCUCACUGAACACCGAAGGAUCGUUGUGGUCUGAGAAGCGAUCCUUUCAUUUUUACCUCCCCCAGUGUUUUUUAUAUUAAUCUUUACCAACUUUUUAAGCUCUCGUUUUUCGUCUUUAUUCUCGAAUGCAAACUGAAUCUCACGAACUUUGAAUAAAGGAUUGCUUGGUUGAUGGAAUCGUUGGAUAAAUUCUGUAAAUUAAGUUAAAUCACCUGAGUGCUUAAAAACUUAAAAGGAAUCCUAUCUGUUGGAUAUUAUGAACCUGAAUUUAUACCUGAAAAGUCAUGCUACUUGACUGUACCAUGGA
RNAcentral lists this long non-coding RNA (540 nucleotides) under Dasypus novemcinctus (nine-banded armadillo). RNAcentral's name for it is "lncRNA (ENSDNOG00000049916.1)". Lineage: Eukaryota; Metazoa; Chordata; Mammalia; Cingulata; Dasypodidae. The record is from RNAcentral.